Molecule: ribosomal RNA, 497 nt
Filed under: uncultured bacterium
Lineage: Bacteria
Description: partial 16S ribosomal RNA
Rfam family: Bacterial small subunit ribosomal RNA
Source: RNAcentral
GAUGAACGCUGGCGGCGUGCCUAAUACAUGCAAGUCGAGCGAACAGACGAGGAGCUUGCUCCUCUUACGUUAUCGGUUUACGGGUGAGUAACACUUGGAUAACCUACCUAUAAGACUGGGAUAACUUCGGGAAACCGGAGCUAAUACCGGAUAAUAUAUUGAACCGCAUGGUUCAAUAGUGAAAGACGGUUUUGCUGUCACUUAUAGAUGGAUCCGCACCGCAUUAGCUAGUUGGUAAGGUAACGGCUUACCAAGGCGACGAUGCGUAGCCGACCUUAUAGGGUGAUCGACCACACUAGAACUGAGACACGGUCCAGACUCCUAAGGGAGGGAGCAGUAGGGAAUCUUGCGCAAUGGGCGAAAGACUGACGGAGCAACGACGCGUGAGUGAUGAAGGUAUUCGGAUAGUAAAACUCUGUUAUUAGGGAAGAACAAAUGUGUAAGUAAAUAUGCACGUCUUGACGGUACCUAAUCAGAAAGCCACGGCUAACUACGUG